Molecule: non-coding RNA, 1163 nt
Organism: Onthophagus taurus
Lineage: Eukaryota; Metazoa; Arthropoda; Insecta; Coleoptera; Scarabaeidae
Source: RefSeq, a predicted model, not a curated record
UUGUGUGUUUGUUGUCCGAGGCAAAUAAGAAGGCGAUAUCAAUCUGCUUUUAGGACAAAACACAGCCAGAGGUUAUCGUCUCAACGGUAUUAUUCAUCAUACAAUCUUCGUCACAACUCCUGCGAACAGACGUUUAUAUAGCAUACGGCCCAGCCUCGGCCAAACAUCGUCUCCAAUCUACCUUUUGCCAGAUCAACAUCUCUAUUUUAUUUUUAAAACAAUUAAUAAACACAAAUUUAUACAACUAAAAAAUUCUCAAAGAUAUAUUCGAGUGUUUUAAUCCGCAUGUAAUGGAAGCAACUUCAAGUAGUCAAGUGAGUUAUUCUUCAGUUGGUCAACAUGAAUUGUGUACCAUGUGACGUCAUCACACGCGUUCUCGAAGACAAACCCAACCGCCAUCUAGUGGUCAUCGUAGUAGGGUUUUGAGGCAGUGCUCGCCACCUCCCGGGACUUUACGAAUCGCAUAGCGUACGGUUUCUAGCGUUUAAUACGCUAGAUGGCGCUACGUUUUUAUUUUUUAAACAAAAUAAAUCAAUUUUUGCUACACAUAGCAUUUUAUCUGUGAUAUGUACGAUUUUAGAGUGUAGCUAAAUAAUUAAGUAAAUAAUUAUUAUAAAUUUAAGGUUUAAGUGUGUAUAUUAAACGAUAAUGUGGAACCUAAAUAAAUUAAAAUUUAAACAAAUGUGUAAAAAUCCCGAUAUGUUAUGUACGUUUAUUCCUAUACUGUUUAUAUAUUAUUUUAUCGAUUAUUAGGAUUGUUAUUUAUGUGAUAUGGUGACAAAAAGAUCUAGUCAAUUAUAUAAAGAAACAAGCAUUUUAAAUUAGAAAAGAUAAUUAUUAUAAAAUAAAUGCGUUUUGUUCCGAUUUGAUUAUAGUUGUUAAAUUGACACUAUUUCAUUAUUAUUCUUAAUAAAAAUCAUAAAUAAUCUCAAAUAAAUGUAGAUAUAUAUAAUUAACCCUAAAAGAAGUACCCCUAAUGUUUAAAUAAGCUAAAGAAAAUGAAUGAAUGAUAAUAAUGGAAUAGUGUGAAACUUGAUCGAAAUUUAUAAAUAAACAAAAACCUUCAUUAGCUGUUUAUACGGUCUGAAAAUUUCGUAAUGAGAGUAUGUACAAUCAAUAAAUAAAUGUGUUACUACUACUAACGGAAUAUAUUUAAACUGAAA